Molecule: ribosomal RNA, 278 nt
Filed under: uncultured bacterium
Lineage: Bacteria
Description: partial 16S ribosomal RNA
Rfam family: Archaeal small subunit ribosomal RNA
Source: RNAcentral
UGCCAGCCGCCGCGGUAAUACCGGCAGCUCAAGUGGUCGUCGCUUUUAUUGGGCCUAAAACGUCCGUAGCCUGUAUGGUAAAUCUGUGGGUAAAUCAACCAGCUUAACUGGUUGAAUUCUGCAGAGACUGCCAGACUAGGGACCGGGAGAGGUGUGGGUACUCUAGGGGUAGGGGUAAAAUCCUGUCAUCCUGAGCGGACCACCUGUUGCGAAGGCGCCACACUAGAACGGAUCCGACGGUCAGGGACGAAGCCUAGGGGCACGAACCGGAUUAGAUA